GGGCGCGUAGUUUAAUGGUAAAACACCUACACCAAGCCACCCACCUGAGCGCUUCGGGAUACCCAUUGUCGCAAUAUGUUGUCGGAGGAUUUCAUUCUCUGACCGGUGGUCUCGUGUGGGAGAUGUGCGUUCGAUUCGCACCGUGUCCA
Non-coding RNA from Curvularia kusanoi, 149 nucleotides. The record is from the annotation of a GenBank genome assembly. NCBI's taxonomy places the organism in Eukaryota, Fungi, Ascomycota, Dothideomycetes, Pleosporales, Pleosporaceae.